RNAcentral lists this small RNA (68 nucleotides) under Sporolactobacillus laevolacticus DSM 442. Its description in RNAcentral is "Bacillaceae-1 RNA". It matches the Rfam family "Bacillaceae-1 RNA". Lineage: Bacteria; Bacillati; Bacillota; Bacilli; Caryophanales; Sporolactobacillaceae. The record is from Rfam by way of RNAcentral.
AGCAGGAGAACUUCAACUAAUACCGCGUACGUCCUGUACGCAACGUUGAAGUCAUUACAUCCUGUAGA